CCGGCGGCGUUAAAAAUGAACGAUAUUCAUUUGAUAAUAGUAAAUUGGUGAAAAAUACACUGGCUAUUAACCAAUCAAAACCCCGGAUUCUUACAUAAGGUGUAAUUAUUAUUAAAAGCUUAUUAUUCAAUAAUAAUUACACCUUAUGUAAGAAUCCGGGGUUUUGAUUGGUUAAUAGCCAGUGUAUUUUUCACCAAUUUACUGUUAUCAAAUGAAUAUCGUUCAUUUUUAACGCCGCCGGGGUAUUUGCUAAAAGGAUAUGCCUUUUUUACCCUCUCUGCCGUGGUAUUUGCCAAAAAAUACUCUAUCCGACUGGACGCUUGUAACGUCAUGAUCAUCAAUGCGUUUUAGUACAUUAACAUUCGGUGUAAUUAAACAGAUAUAUCAUGUUA
This 392-nucleotide long non-coding RNA is filed under the name Mytilus galloprovincialis (Mediterranean mussel). Lineage: Eukaryota; Metazoa; Mollusca; Bivalvia; Mytilida; Mytilidae. The record is from RNAcentral.